Molecule: long non-coding RNA, 260 nt
Filed under: Elaeis guineensis (African oil palm)
Lineage: Eukaryota; Viridiplantae; Streptophyta; Magnoliopsida; Arecales; Arecaceae
Description: long non-coding RNA (EGUI_LNC036556)
Source: RNAcentral
CGCAGCUCCCCAAUUCUCUACCAUCCCUCCAUAGGUAAAACAAAAUUGAUUUUUGUGUCUCCUUAAUUUUUGAAAAGUCUUUGCUUUUUUUUUUUUUGAUCAUUUUGGUUGAUUCUAUAUCAAUCUGCAGAUCAAUUGCAUUUAGCAAGAGAAAAUCGAAUUUUAUUUUGCACAAUUUUGGUGCUUAACUUCUCUGAUUUUUUUUUAAUGUUAUGCACAACCCAAUCAUUACUUGAAAAGAAUGUUCUUCCUAAUUGUUA